AACGAACGCUGGCGGCGUGCCUAAUACAUGCAAGUCGAACGAGAAAGUGGCUUCGGCCAUGAGUACAGUGGCAAACGGGUGAGUAAUACAUAGGUAAUUUACCUCUAAGUUGGGGAUAACCUUCCGAAAGGAGGGCUAAUACCGAAUAAGACUACGGCUUCUUCGGGAGCUGAAGUCAAAGGUGGCCUCUACUUGUAAGCUAUCGCUUAGAGAUGAGCCUAUGCACCAUUAGCUAGUUGGUGAGGUAACGGCUCACCAAAGCUGUGAUGGUUAGCUGAUCUGAGAGGUUGAUCAGCCACACUGGAACUGAGACACGGUCCAGACUCCUACGGGAGGCAGCAGUAGGGAAUAUUGCGCAAUGGAGGAAACUCUGACGCAGCGACGCCGCGUGGGUGAUGAAGG
RNAcentral lists this ribosomal RNA (402 nucleotides) under uncultured bacterium. RNAcentral's name for it is "bacterial SSU rRNA". It matches the Rfam family "Bacterial small subunit ribosomal RNA", at positions 29 to 414 of the family's 1533-position model. The record is from RNAcentral.